RNAcentral lists this ribosomal RNA (309 nucleotides) under uncultured bacterium. RNAcentral describes it as "bacterial SSU rRNA". It matches the Rfam family "Bacterial small subunit ribosomal RNA", at positions 199 to 507 of the family's 1533-position model. The record is from RNAcentral.
AAUUAAACUAUUUAGUGGGUAAGAGAGUGGGCAUGCGUUCUAUUAGUUAGUUGGAGUGGUAACGGCCACCCAAGACAGCGAUAGAGUAGGGGCCCUGAGAGGGGGAUCCCCCACACUGGUACUGAGACACGGACCAGACUCCUACGGGAGGCAGCAGUGAGGAAUAUUGGACAAUGGGCGAGAGCCUGAUCCAGCCAUGCCGCGUGCAGGAAGACGGCCCUAUGGGUUGUAAACUGCUUUGUACGGGAAGAAGCACCCCUCGUGAGGGGCUUGACGGUACCGUAAGAAUAAGGAUCGGCUAACUCCGUG